Molecule: ribosomal RNA, 468 nt
Filed under: uncultured bacterium
Lineage: Bacteria
Description: partial 16S ribosomal RNA
Rfam family: Bacterial small subunit ribosomal RNA
Source: RNAcentral
GACGAACGCUGGCGGCGUGCUUAACACAUGCAAGUCGAACGGAAAGGCCCUGCUUUUGUGGGGUGCUCGAGUGGCGAACGGGUGAGUAACACGUGAGUAACCUGCCCUUGACUUUGGGAUAACUUCAGGAAGCUGGGGCUAAUACCGGAUAGGAGCUCCUGCUGCAUGGUGGUGGUUGGAAAGUUACGGCGGUGGGGGCUGGACUCGCGGCUUACCAGCUGCUUGGUGGGGUAGGGGUUUACAAAGGCUUCGACGGAUAGCCGGCCUGAGAGGUGGGACGGGCACAAUAGGACUACGGGAGGGCGCAGAAUCCUACGUGAGGCAGCAGUGGAGAGUAUGACGCAAUGGGGGGAAGCCAGAUGCGGCAGCGCCGGGUGCGUGAUGACGGGCUUCGGGGUGUAAACCGCUUUCGCCGGUGACGAGGCGUGAGUGACGGUAAUGAGUAAGAAAGCACCGGCUAACUACGUG